Molecule: ribosomal RNA, 360 nt
Filed under: uncultured bacterium
Lineage: Bacteria
Description: bacterial SSU rRNA
Rfam family: Bacterial small subunit ribosomal RNA
Source: RNAcentral
AUUGAACGCUGGCGGCAUGCCUUACACAUGCAAGUCGAACGUGAAAGCGGGGCAACCCGCAAGUAGAGUGGCGGACGGGUGAGUAAUACAUCGGAACGUGUCCAGUAAUGGGGGAUAACCUAGCGAAAGUUAGGCUAAUACCGCAUACGAUCUGCGGAUGAAAGCGGGGGAUGCGGCACUAAAGGCUUUUGGCGAAGGUGGCCAAAGGUGAGUCAAGAGCUUUUAGUGCUGCACCUCGCGUUAUUGGAGCGGCUGAUGUCUGAUUAGCUAGUUGGUGAGGUAAAGGCUUACCAAGGCGACGAUCAGUAGCUGGUCUGAGAGGACGGCCAGCCACACUGGGACUGAGACACGGCCCAGACU